UACGUAGGUGGCAAGCGUUGUCCGGAUUUACUGGCGUAAAGAGCGCGCAGGCGGUCGUUCAAGUCGCGUGUGAAAGCCCCCGGCUCAACUGGGGAGGGUCACGCGAUACUGAUCGACUCGAAGGCAGGAGAGGGUAGUGGAAUUCCCGGUGUAGUGGUGAAAUGCGUAGAUAUCGGGAGGAACACCAGUGGCGAAGGCGACUACCUGGCCUGUUCUUGACGCUGAGGCGCGAAAGCUAGGGUAGCAAACGGG
RNAcentral lists this ribosomal RNA (252 nucleotides) under uncultured bacterium. RNAcentral describes it as "partial 16S ribosomal RNA". It matches the Rfam family "Bacterial small subunit ribosomal RNA", at positions 524 to 776 of the family's 1533-position model. The record is from RNAcentral.